GACGGGGACCCGCACAAGCAGCGGAGCGUGUGGUUUAAUUCGUUGCUACACGAAGAACCUUACCUGGGUUUGACAUAUAAGUUGUAGGGAACUGAAAAGGGACGACCCUUCGGGGAGCUUAUACAGGUGUUGCAUGGCUGUCGUCAGCUCGUGUCGUGAGAUGUUCGGUUAAGUCCGCUAACGAGCGCAACCCUCGCCGUAUGUUACAAGUGUCAUACGGGACUGCCGGUAAAAGCCGGAGGAAGGUGAGGAUGAUGUCAAGUCAGCAUGACCUUUAUAUCCAGGGCUACACACACGCUACAAUGGUCUGUACAAUUGGUUGCCAAGCCGCGAGGCGGAGCCAAUCCGUAAAGCAGGCCUCAGUUCAGAUUGCAGUCUGCAACUCGACUGCAUGAAGCCGGAGUUGCUAGUAACCGCAGGUCAGCAAUACUGCGGUGAAUACGUUCCCGGGUCUU
This 455-nucleotide ribosomal RNA is filed under the name uncultured Anaerolineaceae bacterium. RNAcentral's name for it is "bacterial SSU rRNA". It matches the Rfam family "Bacterial small subunit ribosomal RNA", at positions 912 to 1382 of the family's 1533-position model. The record is from RNAcentral. Lineage: Bacteria; Bacillati; Chloroflexota; Anaerolineae; Anaerolineales; Anaerolineaceae.